UACGGGGGGGGCAAGCGUUGUUCGGAAUUAUUGGGCGUAAAGGGCUCGUAGGCGGUUUGUCGCGUCGGGAGUGAAAACUCACAGCUUAACUGUGGGCGUGCGGGCGAUACGGGCAGACUGGAGUACUGCAGGGGAGACUGGAAUUCCUGGUGUAGCGGUGGAAUGCGCAGAUAUCAGGAGGAACACCGGUGGCGAAGGCGGGUCUCUGGGCCGAUACUGACGCUGAGGAGCGAAAGCGUGGGGAGCAAACAGG
RNAcentral lists this ribosomal RNA (253 nucleotides) under uncultured bacterium. RNAcentral's name for it is "partial 16S ribosomal RNA". It matches the Rfam family "Bacterial small subunit ribosomal RNA", at positions 524 to 776 of the family's 1533-position model. The record is from RNAcentral.